Molecule: ribosomal RNA, 464 nt
Filed under: Dissomorphia australiaria
Lineage: Eukaryota; Metazoa; Arthropoda; Insecta; Lepidoptera; Geometridae
Description: eukaryotic LSU rRNA
Source: RNAcentral
UUCAAGAGUACGUGAAACCGUCCAGGGGUAAACCUGCGAAACUCGAAUGAACGAACGGGGAGAUUCAUCGUCAUUCUCCGGCGCACCGGCGGGGUGCAGACGUUCGGGGCCUCGGUCCCGGGCGCUGCCCUCGUCGGUCGCGCUCCGGGGACGGCGUGCACUUCUCCCUCAGUAAUACAUCGCGACCCGUUCGACGUCGGCCUAAGUGCCCCCCGGGAGUCUGUGCUCGCCACUCGUGGCGUGCGCAUACCGGCGGGUGCACCGGCCGGCCGUCGGACGGUAUAUGUUACGAAACGCUCACGCGCUACGCGCGUCCGGCCCGACGCAAGGCAACGCGUCGUAUCCCCCGUCCUGCCCGAGCGCGGACGGGGGUGCGGCGCGCCUGUUGUCGCAGCCGUGCUGUCUCGGACCGUGUGCGUAUCCGUCUGCGAUGAUUCAGUUUCGGGCACUCGCAGGACCCGUCU